AACCUUAUGGACCUGCGGGCGUAUACCUGCGGAGGGAUCAUUACUGAGUAUUUGUCUUUUCAAGACAUCUCUCUAUCCAUAAACUCUUUUUUUUAAAAAGACAUGAUUUAUAACAAUUAGUCUGAAUGAUUAUUUUUAAAUCUUCAAAACUUUCAACAACGGAUCU
Molecule: unclassified non-coding RNA, 166 nt
Filed under: soil metagenome
Description: partial contains 5.8S ribosomal RNA, internal transcribed spacer 2, and large subunit ribosomal RNA
Source: RNAcentral